GGACGCGCUUCUCCUGCUCCCCCGUCAGAGCCCCGAGAGGCUGUUUGAGGUUUGGGUUCGUGGGUUCCCCUCCAGGUGAGAAACCUCCUUAGGGACCGGAGCUGCGUCUCCGCUAAGUCCCUGUACACUCCCCUGCCGUCGUUCGGGGACAGCCGUCCGCACCCGUGUUUCUGCACUGAGUGUCUGCCUAGGACGCCGCACCUCGCUCUGCCCUCGGCCCCAGAGGACGGGUCCGUGUAGGGCUGGUCCCUCCCGCAGGCGCCAGGUGCUUUCCAGGGCCUCGGGGAACAGGCGCCGCGCCCAGGGGUCUUCCUGUUAGGUGCCAGGGCCUGGAGGUGCCUCCCCGGCGCCCCGCGGCUGGUCUGUGUCUCCACCCCCGAGGUUGGACAGUUUCUGCGGACUUUCUGCAAGUGCGCUUCGGAGGACAAGUUCUUAAGUCUCAGGACCCGGCGUUUGCAACGCUGUGUUCCUGGUCUGGCUGCCUCCUGUCCUGAGACACCGGCCGGCCUCGGCGGCCCCAUCCCGUCGGAGUCCUUCCCUUCCAGACGAGAGCGAAGUUUAUGCGGGGCUGGAGUUUUCUCCGAGAACGUGCGACACGUGGAGUGGACCUUUCUGAGGAGAAGGAGAGUGUGUCUGCCUCGCGGAAGUGUAGGGGCCGUUUAGGUGUGUGUCGCUGUGAGCAGAGGGGAAAGUCUCCGGAGACUGGGGUAACCAGAGCCCAUGAUUACGUGAGAGCCUGCUGAGUGAUCUUAAUAGUAUCCUGAAGCUCCCUGAACGUUUUACUGGCCUUCACUCCGCCACUAAGAGAUUCCGAACCUGCCGCCCCUUCUCGGACCACCUCAGCAGGGGAUGCGCUUCGACCAAGACUGGCAAAGCCAGUAAGUACCAGCGAGCCUGUGCGCCGACGUCCUGCAGCGGACCCCCUACUCGGCAUUCUGAGUACCGGCCCUGCGAUGUCUUCGUCGUGGAGAACGCGCCGUGAGACUGAGAAGAAACCCAGCCGCUUUAUGUGAUCCGAGUUUAGGUGUCGGCAUAGAUUAGUUCGUUAUCCGCAGCGCUG
Molecule: long non-coding RNA, 1060 nt
Filed under: Neogale vison (American mink)
Lineage: Eukaryota; Metazoa; Chordata; Mammalia; Carnivora; Mustelidae
Description: Neovison vison (American mink) lncRNA (ENSNVIG00000007085.1)
Source: RNAcentral